Colias croceus (clouded yellow) is the source of this 426-nucleotide long non-coding RNA. RefSeq lists it as uncharacterized. The transcript is spliced from 3 exons. Lineage: Eukaryota; Metazoa; Arthropoda; Insecta; Lepidoptera; Pieridae. The record is from RefSeq and is a predicted model, not a curated record.
AUUUCAGCAGUUUAUAAAAUAAUCAGUAGCACUUAGGUGACAGAGAUGUGGCGACCAAUAAUUAUUGUUUUAAUGUUGACCUUUAUUUUGGUAUCCGGAGGGGUAUUCAAAAGACAAGCGCAGGACACUAUGUCGAGGUCCGGUGACAAGUACUAUAAACACCACAAACAUCAUAAGCACCAUAAACACGGUUGUGACUGUUGGUUGUUCUGAAAGUGGAAAGUUCUAGAUGGACAUUGAAAGAAGUAUGUAGGUAAUUUUAUUGGUAAUUUAAACAUUUGGUACUUCAGAACAGCUGAUCAGAUAUAAACAACAACAACAACAACAAAAACAUUUAGUUAACCUUUUACUCUAUCUUUAUUCAUGUACUACAGCAUACUUUACUUUUUAUGUAAAGUAGAAAUCAGUAAAACCAUAUAACUUUGC